This is a small nucleolar RNA of Microtus ochrogaster (prairie vole), 213 nucleotides long. Its record names the gene U3. It matches the Rfam family "Small nucleolar RNA U3". From Rfam's summary of the family: Small nucleolar RNAs (snoRNAs) are involved in the processing and modification of rRNA in the nucleolus. There are two main classes of snoRNAs: the box C/D class, and the box H/ACA class. Lineage: Eukaryota; Metazoa; Chordata; Mammalia; Rodentia; Cricetidae. The record is from Ensembl.
AAGACUGUACUUGCAGAGAUCAGAUAUGGUCCAGGACUAGAGAAGUUUCUGGGACUGUGUAGAGUAUCCAAGACCACAAUGAUAAAAGGUAGCCUUUCCUCCUGACUGUGAACCUGCUUUUUGGCCUUGCUUUCCUACAGCUGCCUCUUGCCAUUGCUAAUUGUUCUUUUCUUCCUUUGGGAGAGGGAGAGACAGAGAGGUAAUUUGAGUGGA